RNAcentral lists this ribosomal RNA (397 nucleotides) under uncultured bacterium. RNAcentral's name for it is "bacterial SSU rRNA". It matches the Rfam family "Bacterial small subunit ribosomal RNA", at positions 28 to 422 of the family's 1533-position model. The record is from RNAcentral.
GACGAACGCUGGCGGCGUGCUUAACACAUGCAAGUCGAGCGGUAAGGCCCGUUUCGGGGGUACACGAGCGGCGAACGGGUGAGUAACACGUGGGUGACCUGCCCUCAGCUCUGGGAUAAGCCUGGGAAACCGGGUCUAAUACUGGAUAUGACUCCAUGACGCAUGUUGUGGGGUGGAAAGCCUUGUGCGGCUGAGGAUGGGCCCGCGGCCUAUCAGCUUGUUGGUGGGGUGANGGCCUACCGAAGGCGACGACGGGUAGCCGGCCUGAGAGGGCGACCGGCCACACGUGGGACUGAGACACGGCCCAGACCCCUACGGGAGGCAGCAGUGGGGAAUCUUGCGCAAUGGGCGAAAGCCCUGACGCAGCGACGCCGCGUGAGGGAUGACGGCCUGGUGU